GCCUACGGGGGGCAGCAGUAGGGAAUCUUCCACAAUGGGCGAAAGCCUGAUGGAGCAACGCCGCGUGGGUGAAGAAGGUCUUAGGAUCGUAAAACCCUGUUGUUAGAGAAGAAAGUGCGUGAGAGUAACUGUUCACAUUUCGACGGUAUCUAACCAGAAAGCCACGGCUAACUACGUGCCAGCAGCCGCGGUAAUACGUAGGUGGCAAGCGUUAUCCGGAUUUAUUGGGCGUAAAGGGAGCGCAGGCGGUCUUUUAAGUCUGAUGUGAAAGCCUUCGGCUUAACCGGAGUAGUGCAUUGGAAACU
Molecule: ribosomal RNA, 305 nt
Filed under: uncultured bacterium
Lineage: Bacteria
Description: bacterial SSU rRNA
Rfam family: Bacterial small subunit ribosomal RNA
Source: RNAcentral